GGGAGCCCUUCCCGUCACAGACCCAUCACCGUUCACUUCAGCCUCCUUAGAUGAGGAGGAAAAACACUUGCUCAUACACUGUUGUGGGUAAUGCU
Callorhinus ursinus (northern fur seal) is the source of this 95-nucleotide non-coding RNA. The record is from RefSeq and is a predicted model, not a curated record. Lineage: Eukaryota; Metazoa; Chordata; Mammalia; Carnivora; Otariidae.